This is a non-coding RNA of Nylanderia fulva, 362 nucleotides long. Lineage: Eukaryota; Metazoa; Arthropoda; Insecta; Hymenoptera; Formicidae. The record is from RefSeq and is a predicted model, not a curated record.
AUUGCUGAGUCGCAACAACCAACAAAAAACAUCAAUAUAUUGAAAGGAAACAUAAUAUGACAGUAACAAAAACGAAUAGCCCAUCGACAAGUACACCUACAGUCGAUAACAUAACCGGAAAUAAAAAAGAGGAGGACAAAACUAGAAAAAGAGAAGAACUACUAAAUAAUGAGGAUGAUAUUACGUUAGCAGAUCGGGCACCAGACGGCGGCUGGGGAUGGGUGAUUGCAUUGGCAAUGAUAUUUACCUAUCUCACCACGAUUGGCCAAAUAAUGUCAUUUAACUUAAUCUUUGGCGAUUUCAUCCAAGCUUCUGGACAGGCUGUCUUGGCAUCAAAUCUCUUCCAUGCCUUCUUCAUGAUC